UUAAUAUUCAGAUACUGCCAUCACAAACAAAUAUUCAGAUAUUUGGGUCCAGCCCUUAAAGAUAUCUACUUUUUGAUUUCCACUUUUGUUCCUGUUUCCUAGCAUUUGCCAAAUUUGGUGUCCCGGCUGUAAUGGAAGGCAGUGUUUCCCCUCCUAUAUGACCGAUGAGGCGGGCCGCCUCGCUGGUAUAGGCCACCGCCUCAUUACAAUUCUGAAGACAUUGCCGCCUCACUGGUCCGCACCAAAAAAAAAAAAAAAGGUAAUGCUAAAUAUUAGAAAGCAUUGACACAUAAGUACGGUAUAUUCGCCGCUGAAAUCAACAAGCCAGAAUGGCAGCCUUUUCUCGCCGUGGCUGAAGACAGUAAGGCACAUCCCCAUUGCGGACAAGAAGCAGCAGCGCUCCAGGGUUUCGUUUUUCGGGGCUAAAAGCAGGUGUGUAUCACAGACAUAUGUCAAAUUAAGUAUCAAAACUAUCGUAUGUCAUCAAAAUAAAGUGAGCAACGCAGUGUAGGCAUCGAUCUCGCUUCCUUUACUGAGUUUGCUUACUGUUUUGUUGUCUGUGGCGAUACGAAUUUACAUUGACUGCAAAAAUGGCUCCAGUUAAAACAUUUAGGCACGACAAAACCCGUUCUCACCAACGAGACAAAUGAUUUCAACGGACUAUGAAGUUCCUAGUUUCUUUUGAUAAAAUGAUUUAUAGAGUGCCCGAAAUUAUAUCAUUCAAUGGCAAAACAAAUUCUGUAAUUUCAACGGUUCAGCGGCCUGCAGGCGGGCCGUUUUGAUAUCUGCAUAAGCAUUUUUCAAAAUAGAACGGCACUGCCAACGCGAUUAUAGAAACACUAUACACCCAUGGAAAGCUUAGAUUGAUCAACAUUAAUCCCCACUUAUAUUUGAUUUGCCUCAUGUAAUAAAGAGGGCAUGUGUUCAAAUUUGGUGUUUGUGUUUUCAAGAAUGUUUACUUAAAGUCUUUAAUUCAGCUGCCUGACACAUAUCACAGUGCAAAAUUAUGUAUUCUAACUCAAGGUUAACAACUGGUAUUCUAAAGAAGUUAUUUCUUUGUUCAAAAAGGUAACAGUUUUGAAAACAGAACUAACUCCUUCAGAAAACCAGUUGUCAACCCAGAGUUCAAGUUUUCUUUCACAUGUUUAAGUAAAAUGAAGGUCAUGACAACCUUUUUAUUAUAAAUAAAAAUGAAGUGGGAAUUUGGUACCUAACAUGUAGUUGUUUUUAGAAAAAAAGUAAAAGUCACCACUUGAUUCCAGAUUCAAGUCCUUUGUCGUCUUUUUCAAAUUUGUAAUAAGAACUGAUGUGGCAUUUUGGAAUGGCUUGUGGAAAUCUGACCAGAAUAUAAUAGACUGGACUAGUUGACAUGUUUUGAUCGCGAGGACAAGUGGGUUUAUAUUUGUCAUAUUUUCUCCCUAUCAAAAAUUUUUAGAAAAGAAACAUGAAAAUUUUAUUUAAUUUAGUUUUUGGAAAUGGCUACAAAUACAACAAAAUGUGCUCCAAAUUGUGCCAGAAUGCCCCAUUUUGCAUCUUGAUUUUCAAAAUUUUUCUGGGGGGGGCAUGCCCCCGGACCCCCCUAGUUCCUUCACGCCUGCGGCGCUCGCCAAUGCAAGGGCCCUCAGCCCUUGCCUACACCCCACCACCUCACAGCCAUUUCAACCCAGGGGAAACACUGGAAGGUGUUAGUCAUUGACAGUUCAGGGACUGAGUUGGAUGAUGAUGUCUUUGAGGACAUCAUAAAAGAUCCCUCCACUGGGGUGCUAACCAUUACAUAUGAAAAAGGUUUGUUCCAGUUAAAUUUGUAAUCUUUAUUAACCUUUUUACUCAAAUAGUGACUCCAGGUGAAUCUUUAUUUCUAACAAAGCUAAGUUAGUUUAAUCUCAAGUGAAGCUUAUAUUCUUCAUUAGAUACGGUAUGGGUGUGAGCGAACUAUGUGUAACAUGUCUUCUUUCUCCUCUUACCAAUUGUGGUUAGAAUUUGUCUCCAUGGUAGCCUCAACUGAGUCCCAGGUUUCAUCUGUUGCUUCAUCGGACUCUGAUACAAUUAUGCUUCCAGACAGCCCUUCCAGAAAGCGUCAGAGGCUGGAUUCGGAAGCUAAGCAACUGGUGGAAUCCGUUCUUACCAAGAAAUCUGGUGGAGAAUAUUUGAUAAAUGAAUACAACCGAACUAAGUCCUUGGCAGAUGAGAGCAGAAGGAAAAUGGUGAACAUACUGGUAGCUGAUAUGACUGAGAAGAAUGGUACAUCUCCACCCAGACAGGUGAAAGAAAUGUAUGUGCGAGGAAUUGUGAACUUCUUUCCCUACCUCAGAGACCCAUUCUCCAAGUAUGGCUAUGAGCAUUAUUAUGAUGGUGACAGUGGCACUGGGUACUUGGCCUGGAGACUUAAAACUAUUCAGAGAUGCAGUGCUAAAGACAGGCGAUCUUUAUUUGGAGCAUCAGCAGAAGGACCAUCUGGUGAGGACAUGUCGUGAGGACCAACUGUCAGACGAGUUUCCCAAUUCGUUCCAGAGACUGUCCUCAGUGAAGAUGAAUGCAAGGAAGCGAUCUCACUGAUGAAACAUUCAGCUGAUGAGGACAUGGUCAGGAAGAAGAUGAAGCUGACAUUUGUCCAUCGACGUAACAUGGUCCUUGACCCACAGCAGUCAGAUGACAUACUAUCUGAUUUUCCACAUUUCAAAGACAUCAAGGGCUUGGUUGAACAGGAUUUUGUUCUGAUGUUUGGUGAGGAUUUAUCAGACAAGUUUCUGGAGAAGUGGCCAACCACAUUCAAGAAAAAGAUCAACAAUGCAGAAAGCUUCCCUCCAUCAGUGAGCUUGAGGACCUCCUGCUGGCAGCUGAUCCUCCUGAGGAUAGGGCUGAAGUGGAUGUUGAUUUUGGUUGGGACAGGGACCUCUCAUUGAUUUUACUGCUCCUACACUUGAUUCCACCUACUGCUCUGGGUGGAAAGAGACCAGGAAAGGUGUCUGCGUCCCGGGCUGAGAAGCAUCUUGUGGUUUUC
This is a long non-coding RNA of Acanthochromis polyacanthus (spiny chromis), 3001 nucleotides long. RefSeq lists it as uncharacterized. The record is from RefSeq and is a predicted model, not a curated record. The transcript has 7 exons. Lineage: Eukaryota; Metazoa; Chordata; Actinopteri; Pomacentridae.